CACCACCUGAAACUCCCAUUCCAAGGUAGAGCAAGCCCAAUUCAGCCAUAGCCUUUUCUCUCCUCUCAGUGUUCUCAUACCACUCAUUUCCACCAUCAAUGAUACAAUCUCCCUUCUCCAAGUAGGCAGAAAGAGUCUUUAUGGUUUGAUCAACAGGUGACCCUGCCUUGACAAGCAUAAUUAUCACUCGAGGCUUUUGGAUUGACUUCACAAAAGAUUCAGGAUCAUGGAAGCCAUAUAAGGGAAGAUCUCCCUCUUUUUUAGCCCUCUCAACAGUCUCAUCAACUUUUGAGGUGGACCGAUUAUAAACAGAAACGGGGAAGCCUUUCUCCGCAAUAUUAAGGGCCAGGUUCUGGCCCAUGACAGCCAGACCAGCGAGGCCUAUUCUUGUUGGUUUUGGGGGUGCGGCCAUCGUUACCUGUCCAAAAUUAUCUGAGGAUAAAUUCCAUAACUUUGAAAAAUUAAUUAAUAUUAAUUAACAGAAAACCUAAAACACAUAUGGUUUUUUCUUAGCAUUUCAUAAUGAAAACCUCAAUUUGCGUAAGAGAAGGAUCAAUAAAUAACAUUAGGUUUUGGGGUUAGAUCAGUCAUUUAAUAUUAUUUGGGAAAAAUACAAUCACUUAAAUAACAUUAGGAUCAAUAAAUAAUGAAUUGAUGUGUAGUGACUUUAAAGACAUUUUCAUUUUUUAUGCAAAGAGAAAUUACAUCCCUGUCCUCGAGAUCAAGAAAUUUAAAACUUUCUCGCAAGGCGGGCUUUUUGAUCUUUUCCUAGUGGUAUAGUGUGUGUAUGCACGCGUGCGAUGGAAAAACAAUUAGGCUAUGGUAAAUUUUUUUCUAUUCCUCCCUCUUUCUUUCUUUUCUCCUUGUCAAAGUAUGAAAGUGUCCUAUCAUUUUUUUAUAUCCAAUUUAAUCCUCAUUCUUUUUAUUGUUGUUUGUUUUAUUUUUUAUUUUUUAUUUUAUUUUUAUUUAUUUUUCUUCUUCAUUUCCCCCUCUCAUCAUUUUUUUUUUUUAAUUUGAUUGUUAUAUCAAACUUGAUCCUCAUUCUUUUUAUUUUUUAACCAUUUUACUAAUUGAAUUUUUUUUUCAAUUGCAUCCCAUAACAUUUAAAUUUAAUUUAUUUUUAUAUUGAGUUUGGUUCUUAUUCUUUUUAUUGCUAUUUUAUGUAUCUUUUUUAUUGCAUAUUUUCUAAUUUCAUCCCUCAAUAUUUUUUUUAUUAAGAAUUGUUUUUUGUUUGCCUUCUAUAGGGUUAGUACUAGCCUCGUGACUAGUGUAACGAGUUUUAAAACUUAACACGGGUUGACUUUUUAUUUUUAAGGUCCUUUUAUAAAAUUGAUUUAUUUUAAAUUUUAUUCUUCAACAUUUAAUUUUUAUGUAUUGGUCUUUUUUUUUACUUUCCUUUCUGUAGGGUUAUCUCAAUCUUAUAUACAUCAUCUCGAGGUUGGUUGGUUAACUCGAGUUGACUCGAAUAUUCUUUUUUCAUUUUUUAUUUUUAAAAUAAUAUUUUUAAGUUUCAUCACUCAACAUUUUUUUAUUGAGAUGUUUGCUUCUUUUUUUUUGUUUGCUUUCUAUGUGGUCAGUCCUAGCCUCAUAACCAUAAUCAUUAGUUUUGAAUGUUAAGACAUGUUGACUUUAGUCUUUUUUUAAAUAGAUUUUUUUUUCAAUUUCAUCCUUCAACAUUUUAUUUUUUUGAAAUAGAUCUUUGUACUUUUUUUUCACUUUCAUUUCUAUGGUGUUAUCCCAAUCUUGUGCCCAUGGUUGUCGAGUGAGCAGGUAAACCCAUGUUGACCUAGAUCUUCUUUUUUUUAUUAUUGAUUUUCUUAUAGUUUCACCAUUCAAUAUUGAGUUGUUUAAUAGUUGAGUUUCAUAUUUUUAUUCAAUUCACUUUCAUUAAUAACCUUUUUUUACAUUUUAUUGGCAUGAAUAAUCAUUUGGAAAAAUAAAAAAUUAUUUUAAGAAACAAAGUUAUUAAAUACAAUUGAGUGCAUGACUCAUGUUGCAAGAUCAAAUAUCUUAGUUUUAAUUAUAUCUUGAUCAAAUAUUGAUUUAUUUAAUUAAAUGCAUCUAUAACUAUUUUGAUUUAUGAUUGAGAAUUUUUUUUUAUAUCUAAAAACACGUUGGAAAAGCCUGUAUAUUCUAUUUUUUACUUAAAAAAAUAAUCUGAUUUGUGGGAAAAUAUGGGUCAAAUAGCUAGUAAAACACUAAAAGAUACGUUGUUUUUACUAUGCUCCACAUCACAAAAAUACUAUUCAUUAUAAUAGUGUUUUUUUCUUUGAUUUUUUUUUUCAAUCUAUGUUUUUUUUCCCUUUUACUGUUCAUUAUUUUUUUGUGGUUUGCUUUUUAAGUGGUUAUUCCAAACUCAUGACUUGUGUUGCAAGUUUGACAUACUAACUUGGUUGACUUAUUUUUUUAAUUAGCUGUUUUUUUUUUUAUUUAUUUCUAGCCUUCAACAUUGGGGGUCAUGGGCUUUGUAUGUUAACUCAUGUUGACUCAUAUCAUUUUUUUAAUUGAUAUUUUUUUCAAUUUUAUCUUUUAAUAUUAGAUUAAUUUGAAAUUGAGCUUCAUAACUUAAUUUCUAUUUGUUUUAUAUAGGGUGAGGUUAUCAUGAUCUUGUGACUUGGUUCGUGAGCUUUGCAGGUUAACUUGGGUUGACCCAACUCCAUCUAAUAUGUUGUCAUCUUAAUAUUUUUUAAAAAAUAAUCAUCUUGAAUUUUUGUAGUUAAAUUACAAUUUUAUUGGUUGUUUGAGUUGUCUUUGGAUCCGUCAACCCGAGUUACUUUGGGUCAACUCCCAUAAGGUUUUUUUUUUCCUACAAGAAAAACAUUAGCAACACUUGGAUUUUUUUUACAUUAUAAAAAAAUGAACCGAUCUUCAGCAUAUCACGAGCAAAAGAUCUUUUUACAUUGGUAACCAACUUUUUUUUCAUUGUUUUAAAAAUUUUAUCCUUAUAUUUUUUUUCUUUUUGCAUUUAAUUCUUUUGUGACAUAAUUAUUUGAAAUAAAAUUUUAAAUUGUAGUGGAAAGAAAAAAAAAUUAAAAGAGAGAUGAUGAAAAUGUAAAACAAGCAAAAAAUACAUGGCUAGUUCAUAUUAUUCCGCUUUUUAGUUCCUCAGUUUGAGAUAUGAAAGAGAAACUCGCCAAAAAUAUAGUAAAAGGAAGUGAAAGUAGUUGGUUAUUCAAAUUUUAGCCACUAAAAGUAAGGAUAUUUAUGUCAAUGGAUUCCUCUUCUUGAGAGAAAUGCAAAAAAUAUGGUUUUUUUCUUUAAACAUGAUGGAAAAAAUAGAUCAAGUUUCAUUUGAUUUUUUCAUAUGGUUGAUUUUUAUUUUUUUAGAGUGAUUUUGAGGUGUUUUUGGUUUAUUAAGUGAUUUUUUUAGGUUUAUAUUAUGUUAUGAAGAUGUUAUUAGGUAAAAACAAGCAGAAAAUUGAGUUUAAGGGAUUGAAAAACAUGGACUCUUGAUUUUGCAAUCAUUAAAGGUGACUAGAAAAAGACUAGUUAGCAAUAGACCACUUAUCAUUGCAAAUGACCUGUCACCCUCUUUAAAAAUAAUAAUAAUUAUAGGAGCGGGUAACGAGGAAAACAAAGUGCAGGCAUGAGCUUUUAAUUAAUGCCAAGUGUGUGGACCUAGCCCAUCAACACCUGGUCUUUUUGUAUUUUUUUAAUCUUUUUUCAUUAGUUAUUUAUAUUUAAAUAUUGAUUUAUGUCAUUUCUCUUAUUUUUUAAACAAAUUGAAUCAGCUUUGUUUUAUAAAUAGUGAUUAAUCUUUUAAUAUUUUUUUAGUUGCAUGAUAAUUUGAAAAGUUUAGUUUGAUUUAUCUUGAAUUUUCUUUUUUAUUCGAAUUAGAUGUAUUUGUAUCAAUUUCAUAUAAAAAUGGAAACCAUUUAUUAUUAGUGACAAGAAUUAGUUGUUCAGAUAAAAUUAAUGAAAAAAAUAUCCAAGCUAUAAAGCAAGUUGAGGGCACGGUGCUCACGCUUUCAAAUUGUUUUUUUUAUGUUAAAAAAUGAUUUUUGAUCUGACCUGUAGUGUAGUGCAAGUAAGUUAGCUAGUGAAAAACAAAUAAAUAAAGUGUAUGGAUUCUUGAAUAAAGGCUAGCAAAUAUAUUGCCUUCACGUUUCUUUCAAUAUUGUUUCAAUUUUGGGACAUAUUGUGAGGUUUAAAGUUAAAGAUUGAAACAUAAUGACAAUAAGCUCUUCAAAUAAAACUUUAAUUUCAAGUUAACACUCAAAAGAGCAUGAUUAACAACAAAAUAAUGAAUCAUUCAUGUUAAUUUCACUACUAGAAAAUUGAAAAAAAAUAACAGAAAUACAAAAAAUAUUAUGUCAUGUUUUAAUGAUGGAAAAUGCAAUGGAAAAUUUUUGUUAGUAAUUUCAGACAGAAAUGAUGAUGGAAUAAAAAAAAUUUAAAAAAAAAUCAUCAGCAUUGCAAAUGUGUCAAAUUAUUGACAUAAAUAUAGAUGUAAAUCCCAACAGUGAUUUUAAGAGAAAUUUAAACUUGAUAGUGGCUCUAUACAACACAUUUUCCUCUUGUUCUUUCAAAACAAUCACUCAAACCCUCUUUCUUUCUCUCCCUAAAACUCGACUGAUAGCCACCUUUAUAAGCUCCAGAAAUCUAGCCACCACAACUUGCCGACGUCAACAAAACAUCUCUCCAAAGGCCUAAGCUUCCCUCCCUUGGUUUCAUUUCUUGUCAAGCUUUAUUCCACCAUGUAAGCAAACCUAUCCAUUUAUGUUUUAUUUUAAUAUAUUGAAAUUUGCUUGUAAUAUUUAUAAUUUGCUUGUUUAUUUAAGUGUUUUACUUUUUUUUUUAUAAUGAUAUUUUUUUGUAUUAAUGUAUUUUAGGAUUUGUUUAGGAUUUGGGUAAAAUGGAUUUAAUUUGUCAAUUGAUAAAAUUGAACGUGAUUUUGUAACUUAAAUGUAUUAGAAUUGAAUAAAUUAUGGGUAAUUGGCUACCAAUUAUUAUUAUUAUUAUUAUUUUGUCAAUUUUAUGGUUAAGUUGAAAAUUUGAGGAAAAUUAAUUUUUGUGUGGAAUUGAUAAUAAUUAUAGGCAUUAAUUUAGGUUGAAUAAAUUUGAAUUGAAGAAAUGAUGGCAAAUAAUUUUAGUCAAUUAAGGGUUUUGUUUAAAAUCUAGGAAAAAUUAACUUAAUAUGUAGUUGAUAAUAAUUAGGAUAUUAAUUUAUUUAUUUUAUUCUUGAAUUGAAUAAAUAAUGGAUAGUUAGUUGGGUAUCAAUUUGUUUUUUCAAUUUUAUGGUUUACUUAAAAUUUUAGGGAAAAUUGAUAUUGUGUGGAAUUGAUAACGAUUAAGGAUUAAAUAUGUUUCAACUUAUAAAGUGUUUAAUAGUUAUUGGAUUAAGAAUUACAUUUUUCUAAAUGGGAAGAAUUGAGUCACUCUGGAAUUAAAUAAAUGAUGGGUUAUUAAGUUUUUGGUUGGUUUGUGUAGGCUAAUUAUAAUUUAUGUUUAAUAAAUAGUAGAAUUUGUUAUAUUUAUAUUUUUUGGAUAAUUUUGUUGUAUAUUUUUCUAAUAAAUGGGAAGAAUUGAGAGAAAAAAAGUUCAAGUCCAAUAAAAGCGUUCCUACUUUAUCAAGUAGCAGUGUUAGUGAUCGUGUUGUGAAUAUAAGGGAGGAUUGUGAAGAGACAUCUAGUGUAGAAGUUAUCGACUAAAGCUUAACUAUUGAGGACAUAUUGAGCAUCAUUUCAUUGAUAGAGCCCGUCACAAGCAAAUUGAUAGCAUAAUGGAAAGGUGACCUCUUAAUGUAAAUGUUUUCUCUGAUGAAGUUAAUUAUUUUUAUUGGGUUAUUUUAAGUUUUAUAAUUAUAUGAAAAUGGCUUUCAUAAAUUGACUUUCAUGUUUAUCAAUGUUAAAAUUGCUCGUUUUAUAACAUCUGCGAUGGAGUGAUCAUUGAAAGAACUAUUAUUUCAAUGAAGUCAGCUUGAUGACUAUCUUGAAAAUACGUAUAUUAUAGAUGUUUGGUGAAGAAAGUUUAAGGUUAGAUGAAUAAUCUCAAAUUAAAGUAACUAGUUUUUAAAUUAUGAAAACUAAUUCAUGUAUGAAAUUAAUUAAAAAAAAAUUGGUGGAACAAGAGGCAUUUGUGAAGAGAGUAUGGGAAAACCACGGUACAACUAGGUAAGUUUAAAAAACUAAUAUUCAUAUAGUUAGGUGUUAUGUUAAUGUUAUAUUAUUCUAAACCUAUUUUCUUUUAUUUUCUUAUCUAAUUUUUAUAUAAUAAAUUUAAAUCAUAUUUGAGUUAACUAUUGGUUGCACCAUGUUGCAUGAUUUUUUGUACGAUUCCUAUACCAAAGCAAUGAAGAAGGCCAAUUUGAAUGAUAUAGAGAUGUGAAAAAGGUAUAAACUGAAGUAUGUCACAUACAAUAAUUGAGCAAUAAAUCUUGAAUUUGUGGAAUUAUAAAGUCUUACAAAGCGCUCAAGAUCGAGUAAACAAAAUCAAAAUAAAGAAACUUAUGGUUUGAUGAGCAAGCACACCAGAGGAGUGAUUCCAUUUACUCAUCAUGCAAAGUGCAUAGUAAGAGUUUAUUGUAAUAUAUUUUAUUAUAUCUCUUGAAUUUUUAAUUAUGAGUUUAUUAAUGAGACUUCCAAUAAACUAUUUAACGUGUAGGAAAAAAAACAGUUGGGUCAAGAACCAACAUCAAUGGAGUUAUUUGAGGAAACUCAUAUAAAAAAUGGAGAUUGGGGUAAGAAAAAUUAAACUUUUGUUGAUAAACGAGCGGAUGCAUUUGUUGUAAGUGUUUUGAUAGUUAUCAUUGGUUAAGAUUGUUAAUUUUCAUCAAUAAUAUAAAAUAUAAUUGGAUUUUGAAACUUUUUUUUUUCAUAGGAGAGAUAACAUGGUUAAAAAUUUGGUUAUAACACUUCCAACCAUCCUCGUCAUGAUCCUCUAGUGUAGUUGGAGGCUGCUACAAGUGAUAAACCCUAGAAGAAUCAUAUUUAUACUUUUUUCUAUAGCAUUAAUCCAAGAACUGAGGAAGGGUCACAUUGUUUCGGCUAUAGGCACACUACAUUCCAUCUCAAACUAUUGAUCAUAGGAAUUUAAUGAGAUUGUACAUAAAAAAAUUUCAUAAAAAAUGGUUAUUAAGAUGGAAAAGAUGAGUGCAUAAUUCCAAGAACAAAAUAAGAUGUAGUGGGCUUAACUAAGAGCAGGUAUGUGUGUAUCUUUUUCUCCUGCUUUUGGACCUUCUAGUUCAACAUCAUUUCCUCCCCCUUCAUCACCUCCAAUGUAAUAUACCAAGUAUACUUCACCUUGUUGAUCUGACUGUAUCUCAAUUGGAAUUUGAAUGGUUUUCUACUUGUAUCUCUUCAUGUUUAUUUCUACCUUUUCUUUUUUAAUAUUUGUGUAUGGAUUCUAUCCAUCUCAAUAUUGUGCACUAUUUAUAUGAAUUUGCUACUUAAAUUUUCCAAUUGUAAGAACUCAUAGGUUUACUCAUUUAGCAUUAUUCAUUUUAAAAUUUAUAUAAGUUAAUUUUUGGAGAUGAGUUUACACUAUUUAUGGUUUAAGAUUGUUGUGGAUAUACUUCACUCGUGAUGCUUUUUGUUAUGGAUUUAUUGUAUAUGAAUUUACACUAUUUAUGGUUGUGGAUUUAUUGUAAGCAAACAAUUAUUGGCUUUAGAUCAUAACAAAUAAUAAUAAUAAAAAAAAAUCUCAAACAGAACCAAUAUUCUAUCGGAAUGUUUGUUAGAAAUUCCACCAAAAUGUUCCUACCUUUCCUGUAACUUUUGGUUAAACUUAUUGAAUGUAUAUCAACUUGGUAAAGGAAUGGCUGAUAGAAUUUUCUGUCAGAGAAAUAAACAACAAUGAAAUUUUUGAUGUAAAAUGGGCUGUAAAAGUUUAUUUUUAGGUGCAAAGAUUUCAUCGAUGGUUCUACCAAUAUUGAAAAUUUUGAUGGUAUAAAAAAACCAUGAGUUAUUUUUUUGACUCGUAUUCUAUCAUAGGGUUUGUCGAUAAUUCUCAAUACCGACAAAAUUUCUCUAUAUGCCGACAAAAUAUUUUGUUAGUAUUUUUUAAUUUUCUACAAGUGCUUGAAAUAAUGACAGCCAAACCAAUUUCACUAGCAAGAUCAUGUAAAGACAUGCCGAUCCUAGAUCACCAAUUUCUCAAUAAAUACCAAAAACAUAACAUUGCAAUUACAAUUACAAGUAAAAAUAUAUUACAAACUAAAAGAGGUAAUGCUUUAACUAUAAUGAGUUACAUAUUGUUUCUUCUCACAGUUUAUUAUGAAUUAAUUACAACAGUAUCUUUUUCGUCCUCAAACUUUUUUAACUAUACCAUUGCAUGCAUUGUCUGUGGUUUUUUUUUUUUUUUUUAGUUUAUGAUCUCUUUUAUUUGCGUAUUCUUUAGAGUUAAAGGUUUCGAUCAGAUUUUCAAACUUGAUUAGAGGCCGAUUUAAUGAGAUGAAUUUUAAAUUCGUAGCAUAAAGAUGCAAUUAAAAAAGAAAAUAUCAAACUAAAAACCAAAAAAAAAUCAGUAUGGCUCAACUAAAAUUCAUGAAAGAAAUUCUCUUUUUGUCUACAUAUUCUCCAUUAACUUCUCUUUUGGUCCCUUUAUUUUUAGCAUUUUAUGUUUUGGACCAAAACUUUAUUUUAUUACAUUUUAGUCCCUGAGUUUGAGAUAAGAGAGAGAAAGUCGCCAGAAGAUAGGGAUUCAAAGAGAAAGUUAUCGGCUGACAACAUUCUAUCAAUAAAAAAAAUCAAUCUUAGUAUCAAUUAAUUUCAUUUGAUGAGAUUUGUUUCAUUAUGGUGUUUUUUAAUCAUUUAUCUUGUUAGUAAAAUAGAUUAGAAUUCGCGAAUCUUUUUAUUCGAGAUAUUUUUUUCAGUUUUUUGACCGAUUAAAAAGGUUAUAUAUGGGUUUGUUAAGCUACAUGAGUUUUUUUAAUAUAUUUUUUCAUGUGAAAAAAGCUUGAAAAAUAAGUUUAUUAGGUCUGAGAGCUCGAGAGUAGACAAUGUCAUUUGUUUUUUUAAAAUAAAUAAAAAAAAGCUAACAAUGUAUCAUUUGCUGGUCCACCAGGCCAGACAUUUGGCCUGUUUUUGUUAAAGCUUUAAUAUUGUUUUUCUUCUAUUUUAAUUAAGUUUUGUUAAAACAAAUUAAUUAAGAAUAUGUUAAGCAUAUUAUUCUAUUAAAUAUUGUUCUAUUUUUUUUUAAUAAUAUAAAGACAUUGUUUUAUAAUAUUAGUUAGAGCUCUUUUUGUACAACCCAUCAUUACUAUUUUGUUUUGUUUUUUCUAAAGCUUUAUUAGUUGUGUUUCCUGCACAUGUCUAUUUUUAUUCUAUGUUUCCUGCACACACGUAUAAUUAGAUAGCAAAUUAGACUACAAAAAGUUGGUGUAAGCAGUCUAUUAUUCUUAUAUUUUUAAUUCAUACACAUUGACACUAUCAAAAUAAUUUUUAUUUAUUUAUUAAAAGUUACUUUUUUUUUUUAAUUCUGAUAAGCUUUUGUUUUUUUUUUUAAUAUUUAGGAAAACAAUCCAAAAAAAAGAGGAAGUGCAUUAAUAAGAUAAUGAGGUUUUGAUUAGAGAUUUGCUUUUUCUUUUUUACCAACCAUUAUUUCAAAGGGUCCAAAUUUUAUUUGAUAUUUAUUCUAAUUGUUUUAUGUUUUAUCAAAUAAAGCUCAUAGCACAUAAAAGCUAUAUUUGUUUUAGAGGAAAACAAAUUGAUAAGAAAAGAAGGGAUUACAAUAGUAAAUUAUUUUGUUUCCAUGGAAUUUAAAUUAUUAUAUUUCUUAAAAAAAAUAUUGAUAUAUAAAUAAAUAAAUUAAGUAGUUUAUUGCAGCAAAAAAAUAAGAAUCUUAAUCAGCAUCUAUAUCUUGUCUUUCUAGUAUGGUUUUUAGAUAAUGCUAAAUGAGUAAACCCUUCCCAUUUUUCUUCUCCACUCAGAUAUCCGAAGGAAAAAAAAAAAACAAAACAAUAACUACUAAAAAAAAAAAGUCACAUCUUUGUCAAACAAAUAAGAGAAAGCACACACCUUGGAAAUGGGUUCUGAAAAAUUAAAGAUCUGGGAAUGGAAGAAGAGACGAGAAAUUAGUAGAUAGCUGACAUCAACAAUAUUAAAGAAAAAGAAGGAAGGGAAGGUGCACGUAAGAGUAGCAGUCGCUUACCGCGUAGAAGUGAUAGUCAGAAACGUAAGACUUGAUGAUGGAGCUUUUCAUUUGUCUGAAUUUAUAUAUUAUUUUAAUUCUCCGUACCAUGAGCUGAUUGGUAGGUGGGAACUGGGAGUUGGAUGUGACCUUGGUUUUUUACCUAACGUAUGAAUUUUUUUUUUAUUAUUAUUAUGGAUGGAUUAAUAAGUUAUAUCUAUUUCAUGUAAAUUUUUAAUAACUUGAAAUUUAUAAAAUUUAAAAUAAUAAUUUUUAAAAAAUAAAUUUAGAACUUCACCACACCCUAAUAUUAACUUUAAAUUUUGUAAAAGGUUGAAUGCAAAGAUGCUCGAGCUUCGAAUUCCAUUACUGAAUUGUCGUUUUCAUGCUGAGAGAACAGAACCUCCUGAUUUUUGGAUAAAAAUAAACUUGAUAAUCGCGAUCACGCCAACCUUCCUCUUCUUUUAUCUAUGAUAUAUUAAAAUAAAUAAUAUUUUUUAUUUUAAAAAAUUAUUUUUAAUAUCAAUAUAUUUAAACAGAAAUGCCAUGAGCCUCAUCUUCAGCUCUGUUUCUGGAAAAAAAAAAACCCUGAUGUGGUAUGUUUUCAAGAUAAGAUUGUUACUUGGUGAAAAGUUAGCAUAGCAUGGGUUUAUCUGGCUAUAUAACAAUUGAAAUCAAGUAAUUGUUGCAGCAUUCAAACAUUUUCCCCGCCUUAUAGAUAAUAAAUUCAAACGUAAAGUCGGAAAAGUAUAAACCAACAUCCAUUGUAUGGCAAUAUUGUAAAGUAAAUAAAUUGCUGAAGAAUAGCAAAGCAAGGAAUACCACCGAAAGAGAAAUUAUUGCUCGAAUAUCUGAUUUCAAACUACUCCUCAAAAGCACCGUUACAUAUCUCUUCAAACCAGAAAACAGCCACGAAGCUUAAAUGAGGAACCUGGUGGCGCUAAAAUACAAAGCAGUAGAACCGCCAAGAAAAACCACAACAUAUAGAAGAUCGAAAAAGUGUCUAAAUAUUCAAAUGGAUCGAGAUGCAUCUCAUGAAAUUGGGUGGCGAAAGUUGUACCCAGCAUAGAGUCCAGGGGAGAAGUUAUUGUCUUAUUGAAAGUCUUGAUUAAGCUUUGAUAGAACUAAGGAAAGGUUUAAUUCUUCAACUGCCUGGCAAUCUUGAACCAUUCAGUAUGGAAAGAUCCUUCCACAUCAACCCUUUCGUAUGUAUGAGCACCAAAAUAAUCUCUUUGAGCUUGGACCAAAUUAGCAGGCAACCUUCCCCUCCGGUAGGUGUCAAAAUAAGCGAGGCUGGAUGACAUACCAGGAGUGCUAAUACCGGAGGUGAUUGCAAGACACACAACCCUGCGCCACGCAGACUGGCGCUCAAUAAUUUCCUUAGCAAACUCUGGAUCCACUAGAAGGUUAGCAAGAUCAGGAUUCCUAUCGUAUGCCUUCUUGAUCCAGUCCAGAAAUACAGCUCGGAUAAUACAACCACCCUUCCAAAUCCUAGCCAGUUCUCCCAAUUUCAAGUCCCAUCCCUUCUCAAUACUCUUUGCACGGAUCAGAUUCAUCCCCUGUGCAUAACUACAAAUCUUGGAUGCAUAAAGAGCUUGUCUGACAUCAUCAAUCAACUGCUUCUUAUCCACCACUUGGCCAGUUAAAAUAUCCCCAAAACCACCUGCUUUGAAGACUUUAGCAGCUUCAACGCGUUCCUCCUUCAAACCACUGAGGAACCUUGCAUCCAAAGAAGAUGCAAUUGUAGGAGCUGCUACUGAUAGAUCAGCAGCUUGCUGCACAGUCCAUUUACCUGUACCCUUCAUGCCGGUUUUGUCCAAAACCUUGUCAACCAGAUAUCCUUCCCCCUUAUCAUCUUUAAUUCCAAAUAUAUCUGCGGUGAUUUCAAUCAAGAAGCUAAGAAGCUCACCCUUGUUCCAUUCUGCAAAAACACUACGGAGUUCUUCAUUUGACAACUUUCCAACUGAUUUUAGUACAUCAUAAGCUUCAGCAAUCAACUGCAUAUCGCCGUAUUCAAUUCCAUUAUGAACCAUCUUGACAAAAUUACCAGAACCGCCUUUGCCGAUGUAAGUCACGCAAGGGCCACUAUCAGGAACUUGAGCUGCCACUUUAAGAAGAAUGUCUUCGAUGUACUUGAAAGCCUCGAAGGAACCUCCAGGCAUCAUUGAAGGUCCAUUACGUGCACCCUCUUCACCACCUGAAACUCCCAUUCCAAGGUAGAGCAAGCCCAAUUCAGCCAUAGCCUUUUCUCUCCUCUCAGUGUUCUCAUACCACUCAUUUCCACCAUCAAUGAUACAAUCUCCCUUCUCC
Molecule: long non-coding RNA, 12378 nt
Filed under: Populus trichocarpa (black cottonwood)
Lineage: Eukaryota; Viridiplantae; Streptophyta; Magnoliopsida; Malpighiales; Salicaceae
Description: long non-coding RNA (PTRI_LNC004343)
Source: RNAcentral